AGUGCAAGAUGUUCAUAUUCCUAUAUUUUACGCUUGAUUCUAAGUUAUAACCAUGGCAGUUGAAAACCCUCAAAUCCAAACAUGAACUAUCGUGAUUCAACGUACGCGAUUCCAAACAACGUGUUGAUUCUGAGUUACCGUGGUUGUUUUUCGAUUAGUGUUUCAAUUGAAAAUUCUGAAUCGCCUUCAGAACUGAAAUCUACUACUCUAUCUUCAAAGCCUCUGACGAACCACAAACCGCCGCACCGUCACUAACCUGUCUCGAACCACCGCGGCCAGCGCCGCUGUUAUCGCAGUUACCACCACCGCUGUUAUCAAUUAUCAUGGUCCAUGACGUCUUGUUCUUGGAGGAAUGGCUAAAGAGCAGGUGUGGUGAUACAAACAAAUUCACCCCAAAAGCCUCUUCUGCUAGAGCCAUUGUUCAGGCGUGGUCUGAGCUCCGAGGCUCCCCUUCAUUUGGUCAACAUCACCUGCAACAUCUCAAAACCCUAGUUAAUUCCCAAACAUCCCUCCAUGUUGCACAACCCCAAGCAACACUUAUCCUUGCAAUUCUUCAAUCUUCCAACUUUUCUCUUCCAUAUCACUCGUUUCCUUUCUGAAAGCCCUGCCACUUUUUACUGCAUUCACAGUCUUGUUGAAAAAGCCAAUCAGCUCUGUUCUGAAGUCUCAACUCAUGAGGCUGAUGCAUGGAAGAAGCGGCAAGGAGAGCCAGAACCAAGCAAGAAGUUAAUGGACCUGCUUUUACACCUAGUUUUCCUUGUUGGCAUACAAGUCUUGCCCAACUUGAUGAAACUGUUGGCGCAGCUGAUUACUAAGUUACCACAAGAUGCACAGAACAUAGUUUUAAAUGAGUUGUAUUCACAAGUGGCUGAUUCUGAUGAUGUCAUCCGCAAACCAACAUUGGUUUCAUGGCUGCAGUCAUUAUCUUACGUUUGCACCAAUUCUACAAAUCAAAAUGCAGCCUCACAUAUAAGUAAAAGUGAAGAUAAUCUGUCUUCACCCAGUAUUGCUGACCCAUUAACCAGUGGAAGACUAACUGCACACCUAUAAGAGAUUCAGUUGUCUAUAGAAAUUAAGAAGGUAAUAUGCUAAUGAAGCAAAGGAACCAACAUUUGAUGAAGCUCAGGAUUUCAUUAACCGAACUUUGAAUGCCAUUGACUGGAGGUUGAUUAGUCUCAAAGUAGCUCCUGGCCAGCUGUGAGGAUGUCAAUCCCUUCCCAUCUCAUGGCCAUAAAGUGUCAUCCAAUGGCAACUUGUAGCUGUAUGGUACUUUUGUUUGAUGAUCAAAGGUUAUGGUGGCUGAUCUUUUCAAUAAAGAGAGCUCAUGUCAUCCUCCUUUUCAUCUAUCCAAGAAGAGCUUUUUUAAUGAACCUAGCUUUGGGAUAUGGAUGCGGUAUAUAGCCUGUGUUGGAGCAUAUCUGCUGUGUAGUUUUGCUAGCGACACUCUUUUAAUCACGCUUUUAAAACACACUCUUUGUAAUUGGUCAAAAGAAGUCAGCACACUUCCAUAAAUCAUGCUGAUCUUCCAUAAAUAAUGAAAUUCUUCUAUAGAUGUUUUGUGUAUCGAAUGAAAAGCCAGAUUCACAGUUAUAGUUAAGAUACUAUAUUAUUAUCA
Long non-coding RNA from Lotus japonicus, 1615 nucleotides. RefSeq lists it as uncharacterized. The record is from RefSeq and is a predicted model, not a curated record. The transcript has 4 exons. Lineage: Eukaryota; Viridiplantae; Streptophyta; Magnoliopsida; Fabales; Fabaceae.